GAUGAAGAACGUAGCGAAAUGCGAUAAGUAGUGUGAAUUGCAGAAUUCAGUGAAUCAUCGAAUCUUUGAACGCACAUUGCGCCCCUUGGUAUUCCAUGGGGCAUGCCUGUUCGAGCGUCAUUUGUACCUUCAAGCUUUGCUUGGUGUUGGGUGUUUGUCCCUCGGGACUCGCCUUAAAGUCAUUGGCAGCCAGUGUUUUGGUUUUGAAGCGCAGCACAAGUCGCGAUUCAAGGCUAUCCGCCCGCUUCCACAAGCCUUUUUCACUUUUGACCUCGGAUCAGGUAGGGAUACCCGCUGAACUUAAGCAUAUCAAUAAGCGGAGGG
RNAcentral lists this unclassified non-coding RNA (324 nucleotides) under soil metagenome. RNAcentral describes it as "partial contains 5.8S ribosomal RNA, internal transcribed spacer 2, and large subunit ribosomal RNA". The stretch from base 1 to 120 matches the Rfam family "5.8S ribosomal RNA", at positions 35 to 154 of the family's 154-position model. The record is from RNAcentral.